Molecule: long non-coding RNA, 544 nt
Filed under: Homo sapiens (human)
Lineage: Eukaryota; Metazoa; Chordata; Mammalia; Primates; Hominidae
Description: uncharacterized LOC105376805, transcript variant 2 (LOC105376805)
Source: RNAcentral
UUCGCCCGCCCUGCCCCUCGCCUGCUUCAGAAGCUUCCAGGAACUCCCGGGUCGGCGACCCAGCCCGAGCCGCCUGGGGCCCCAAGGGAAGCUGAACGCCCUGUGGGCUCCUGGGAUGGUUCUUCCCGUUCUUUGCGCCGCCUUCACCCAUUGAAGAGCCUGUGCCCACCCUGCCCAGUCGCUCUCGGGGCCGCGGAGGAGCUUCCGCUGCCAUCUUCGGAUCCUGUGUUCCGCACGGGGGCUCCACCAGGGCAGGGAUGGUGAAUGGGGAAAUGGAGAGAGAACCUGAAAGAGCCCCAAACUCGAGGACCUAUUGCUCCCCAAGAAUAACAUCUUCCAGAAGAACUAGACAGAAAACUAGGCGUCUGGGAACUCUGAAAUCCUUGGAGGAGUAGCAUCAUCAUGACCCUCUGUGUUCCUUUUGGCAAAGGACUUGCUCCCAUUGUUUGCUUGUUCCAUUGUCUGUCUGUUAAAUAAAUAAAACCCUUUUCAUAUAUCUUUAAACUUAAAAAAAAAAAAAAAAAAAAAAAAAAAAAAAAAAAAA